RNAcentral lists this microRNA precursor (82 nucleotides) under Otolemur garnettii (small-eared galago). RNAcentral's name for it is "miRNA (ENSOGAG00000022577.1)". Lineage: Eukaryota; Metazoa; Chordata; Mammalia; Primates; Galagidae. The record is from RNAcentral.
ACCUUGAGAUCUUAUUAAAAUGCAGUGAGUCUGAUUCAAUGGAGCCUGAGAUUCUGCAUUUCUAACAAGUUUCCAGGUGAUG